This 385-nucleotide unclassified non-coding RNA is filed under the name Hevea brasiliensis (rubber tree). Lineage: Eukaryota; Viridiplantae; Streptophyta; Magnoliopsida; Malpighiales; Euphorbiaceae. The record is from RNAcentral.
GGAAAAGCUCACAAUACUCAACAACUACAAGGCAUCAUUUGCCAUCAACUCGACGAGUCCUAUAUAGUGCCCCUUCUAAAACUCUGUAGUGGCCUCCUGCCGUCAGCACCGCCACCGAUCACCUUCGCCGUCACUGAAUCCCGACCUUUCUGUUAUAUCUAUCUAUUUACCUCUCCAUUCUCGCUAUAAUGUAUAUAUCCCAUAUUGAUUUCUUUCUAGUUUUCCUUCUAUCUACAUGAACCAGCAAUGGGCAACCUCUGCACCUGUUUCGCACCCAAAACAGUGAAAAAAAAGAAAUCCACAAAGCGUUCACCCGGUAACCCACAGUCCAUUCCCAAUUCAAGCAACCGGUGGAAUCGGAUCCGGUCCACGCGCAAAGACAGCA